GACGAACGCUGGCGGCGUGCUUAACACAUGCAAGUCGAACGGAAAGGCCCUGCUCUUGCGGGGUUCUCGAGUGGCGAACGGGUGAGUAACACGCGAGUAACCUGUCCCUGACUUAGGGAUAACACUAGGAAACUGGGGCUCUUAUCGGAUAGGAGCUCUUGCUCCACGGUGGGGGUUGGUAAGUUUCGGUGGUUGGGGCUGGACUCGCGGCUUAUCAGCUUGUUGGUGAGGUAGGGGCGUACAAAGGUUACGACGGGUAGCCGGCCUGAGAGGGGGGCCGGGCACAUGGGGCCUGAGAUACGGACCAGACUCCUACGGGAGGCAGCAGUGGGGAGUAUUACGGAAUGGGCGGAAGCCUGAUGCAGCGACGCCGCGUGCGGGAUGACGGCCUUCGAGUUGUAAACCGAUUUCGCCUGUGACGAGGCGUGAGUGACGGUAAUGGGUAAAGAAGCACCGGCUAACUACGUG
Molecule: ribosomal RNA, 468 nt
Filed under: uncultured bacterium
Lineage: Bacteria
Description: partial 16S ribosomal RNA
Rfam family: Bacterial small subunit ribosomal RNA
Source: RNAcentral